RNAcentral lists this ribosomal RNA (497 nucleotides) under uncultured bacterium. Its description in RNAcentral is "partial 16S ribosomal RNA". It matches the Rfam family "Bacterial small subunit ribosomal RNA", at positions 28 to 507 of the family's 1533-position model. The record is from RNAcentral.
GAUGAACGCUGGCGGCGUGCCUAAUACAUGCAAGUCGAGCGAACAGAUAAGGAGCUUGCUCCUUUGACGUUAGCGGCGGACGGGUGAGUAACACGUGGGUAACCUACCUAUAAGACUGGAAUAACUCCGGGAAACCGGGGCUAAUGCCGGAUAACAUUUAGAACCGCAUGGUUCUAAAGUGAAAGAUGGUUUUACUAUCACUUAUAGAUGGACCCGCGCCGUAUUAGCUAGUUGGUAAGGUAACGGCUUACCAAGGCAACGAUACGUAGCCGACCUGAGAGGGUGAUCGGCCACACUGGAACUGAGACACGGUCCAGACUCCUACGGGAGGCAGCAGUAGGGAAUCUUCCGCAAUGGGCGAAAGCCUGACGGAGCAACGCCGCAUGAGUGAUGAAGGUCUUCGGAUCGUAAAACUCUGUUAUUAGGGAAGAACAAAUGUGUAAGUAACUGUGCACGUCUUGACGGUACCUAAUCAGAAAGCCACGGCUAACUACGUG